AAUGUCGUAACAAGGUUUCCGUAGGUGAACCUGCGGAAGGAUCAUUACCGAGUGAGGGCGCCCUCGGCGCCCGACCUCUCAACCCUUUGUGUGACCGUUACCUCUGUUGCCUCGGGGGACGACCCGGCCCUUGACCCGGACCGCGGCCCCGGAUGGACCACUCAUCAACGACUGCAGUCAAUGCGUCGGAGUGAUUGAAUGCAAAGUUCAAUCAAAU
Molecule: unclassified non-coding RNA, 217 nt
Filed under: plant metagenome
Description: partial contains small subunit ribosomal RNA and internal transcribed spacer 1
Rfam family: Eukaryotic small subunit ribosomal RNA (bases 1-47)
Source: RNAcentral